Molecule: ribosomal RNA, 460 nt
Filed under: uncultured bacterium
Lineage: Bacteria
Description: partial 16S ribosomal RNA
Rfam family: Bacterial small subunit ribosomal RNA
Source: RNAcentral
CCUACGGGGGGCAGCAGUGAGGAAUAUUGGUCAAUGGACGAGAGUCUGAACCAGCCAAGUAGCGUGAAGGAUGACUGCCCUAUGGGUUGUAAACUUCUUUUAUAUGGGAAUAAAAUGUUCCACGUGUGGGAUUUUGUAUGUACCAUAUGAAUAAGGAUCGGCUAACUCCGUGCCAGCAGCCGCGGUAAUACGGAGGAUCCGAGCGUUAUCCGGAUUUAUUGGGUUUAAAGGGAGCGUAGGUGGAUUGUUAAGUCAGUUGUGAAAGUUUGCGGCUCAACCGUAAGAUUGCAGUUGAAACUGGCAGUCUUGAGUGCAGUAGAGGUGGGCGGAAUUCGUGGUGUAGCGGUGAAAUGCUUAGAUAUCACGAAGAACUCCGAUUGCGAAGGCAGCUCACUGGACUGCAACUGACACUGAGGCUCGAAAGUGUGGGUAGCAAACAGGAUUAGAUACCCGAGUAGUC